CUGCUCACUGCGGCAGCACAUAUACUAAAACUGGAAUGAUACUGAGAUUAGCAUGGCCCCCGGCCAAGGAUGACAGGCAAAUUCAUGAAUCGUUCCAUUAAAAA
RNAcentral lists this small nuclear RNA (104 nucleotides) under Moschus moschiferus (Siberian musk deer). Lineage: Eukaryota; Metazoa; Chordata; Mammalia; Artiodactyla; Moschidae. The record is from RNAcentral.